UUUGAUGGCGACCGGCGCACGGGUGAGUAACACGUAUCCAACCUGCCGAUGACUCGGGGAUAGCCUUUCGAAAGAAAGAUUAAUACCCGAUGGCAUAGUUCUUCCGCAUGGUAGAACUAUUAAAGAAUUUCGGUCAUCGAUGGGAUGCGUUCCAUUAGGUUGUUGGCGGGUAACGGCCCACCAAGCCUUCGAUGGAUAGGGGUUCUGAGAGGAAGGUCCCCCACCAUUGGAACUGAGACACGGUCCAAACUCCUACGGAGGCAGCAUG
Molecule: ribosomal RNA, 268 nt
Filed under: uncultured bacterium
Lineage: Bacteria
Description: partial 16S ribosomal RNA
Rfam family: Bacterial small subunit ribosomal RNA
Source: RNAcentral